Long non-coding RNA from Myotis brandtii (Brandt's bat), 549 nucleotides. RefSeq lists it as uncharacterized. The record is from RefSeq and is a predicted model, not a curated record. The transcript is spliced from 4 exons. Lineage: Eukaryota; Metazoa; Chordata; Mammalia; Chiroptera; Vespertilionidae.
CCUGCUGACUCUCAGAGGGGAAGGGAAAGGAGAAAGAGAUAGAAACAUCAAUGACAAGAGAGAAUCAUCUAUUGGCUGCCUCCUGCACGCGCCACACUAAGGAUAGAGCCCGAAUACCAGCUAUCCAUGAUAAAAUAUAAGAAGAGAGAGGUAAACUGAAGAAGGGUCCAGGAUAGUAUUUCCAGACAGCACAAGGAUCCCAAAGGAACAAAUGGCCUCAUGAUGAAAAUCAAAUCCAAGGUGCUGCCAGCAAAAUGAGAUCACAGGGGAAUAUUUUCUCGUUGAGCCCUGAGCCACCAUGAACUCUGCUGGAGAGACCACAUUGAGACUUUAUGGAGAGAAGAGGGGACCAAAUGAAGCCAGCUUUCUAGCCAUUCCUUCCAAGGCUCAACGCAUGUGAGUGAAGCUAAAUGAAUACCUCUAGGUUACCUAAAUUGACUCCGUGUGGCACAGAAGGGGCUAGCCUAGCCUUGACUGGAUUCCCAACUUACAAAAUUGUGAGAAAUAAAAUGUUUGUUGAUCUAAGCCACUAAAGUUUGGGACUACUCC